UAGCUCAGAGGUUAAGAGCACUGGCUGCUCUUCCAGAGGUCCUGAGUUCAAUUCUCAG
This is a non-coding RNA of Cricetulus griseus (Chinese hamster), 58 nucleotides long. The record is from Rfam. Lineage: Eukaryota; Metazoa; Chordata; Mammalia; Rodentia; Cricetidae.